GGGGCGUUAGCUCAGUUGGUAGAGCACCUGCAUGGCAUGCAGGGGGUCAGCGGUUCGAAUCCGCUACGCUCCACCA
RNAcentral lists this transfer RNA (76 nucleotides) under Haloferula rosea. Its description in RNAcentral is "tRNA-Ala". It matches the Rfam family "tRNA". From Rfam's summary of the family: Transfer RNA (tRNA) molecules are approximately 80 nucleotides in length. Their secondary structure includes four short double-helical elements and three loops (D, anti-codon, and T loops). Further hydrogen bonds mediate the characteristic L-shaped molecular structure. tRNAs have two regions of fundamental functional importance: the anti-codon, which is responsible for specific mRNA codon recognition, and the 3' end, to which the tRNAs corresponding amino acid is attached (by aminoacyl-tRNA synthetases). tRNAs cope with the degeneracy of the genetic code in two manners: having more than one tRNA (with a specific anti-codon) for a particular amino acid; and 'wobble' base-pairing, i.e. permitting non-standard base-pairing at the 3rd anti-codon position. The record is from RNAcentral. RNAcentral also lists the same sequence under 13 other names. Lineage: Bacteria; Pseudomonadati; Verrucomicrobiota; Verrucomicrobiia; Verrucomicrobiales; Verrucomicrobiaceae.